This 319-nucleotide ribosomal RNA is filed under the name uncultured eukaryote. Its description in RNAcentral is "partial 18S ribosomal RNA". It matches the Rfam family "Eukaryotic small subunit ribosomal RNA", at positions 1470 to 1796 of the family's 1831-position model. The record is from RNAcentral.
CCCCUAGAUGUUCUGGGCCGCACGCGCGCUACACUGAACAGUUCAACAAGUCUUAACCUUGGCCGAUAGGUCUGGGUAAUCUUUGAACGCUGUUCGUGAUUGGGAUAGACCUUUGCAAUUAUGGGUCUUCAACGAGGAAUUCCUAGUAAACGCAAGUCAUCAGCUUGCAUUGAUUACGUCCCUGCCCUUUGUACACACCGCCCGUCGCACCUACCGAUUGAAUGGUCCGGUGAAUGACUCGGACUGCUGUCGGCCUUCACGGGCUGACGGUGGAAAGUUUUGUAAACCUUAUCACUUAGAGGAAGGAGAAGUCGUAACA